Molecule: ribosomal RNA, 497 nt
Filed under: uncultured bacterium
Lineage: Bacteria
Description: partial 16S ribosomal RNA
Rfam family: Bacterial small subunit ribosomal RNA
Source: RNAcentral
GAUGAACGCUGGCGGCGUGCCUAAUACAUGCAAGUCGAGCGAACAGACGAGGAGCUUGCUCCUCUGACGUUAGCGGCGGACGGGUGAGUAACACGUGGAUAACCUACCUAUAAGACUGGGAUAACUUCGGGAAACCGGAGCUAAUACCGGAUAAUAUAUUGAACCGCAUGGUUCAAUAGUGAAAGACGGUUUUGCUGUCACUUAUAGAUGGAUCCGCGCCGCAUUAGCUAGUUGGUAAGGUAAUGGCUUACCAAGGCAACGAUGCGUAGCCGACCUGAGAGGGUGAUCGGCCACACUGGAACUGAGACACGGUCCAGACUCCUACGGGAGGCAGCAGUAGGGAAUAUUCCGCAAUGGGCGAAAGCCUGACGGAGCAACGCCGCGUGAGUGAUGAAGGUCUUCGGAUCGUAAAACUCUGUUAUUAGGGAAGAACAAAUGUGUAAGUAACUAUGCACGUCUUGACGGUACCUAAUCAGAAAGCCACGGCUAACUACGUG